Long non-coding RNA from Juglans regia (Persian walnut), 525 nucleotides. RefSeq lists it as uncharacterized. NCBI's taxonomy places the organism in Eukaryota, Viridiplantae, Streptophyta, Magnoliopsida, Fagales, Juglandaceae. The transcript is spliced from 2 exons. The record is from RefSeq and is a predicted model, not a curated record.
UAUACACUGGAUUUUUCAUACUCUUAUAUCAUCACAAGGAAAGAGGAAAAAAAAAUUUUGAUUUCUUUCUGUUUGUUUGGAGGAAGGAAGAAGAAAUGGCGAAGGUAGCACUUGUUUUUUUAAUCUCCAUGGCACUUUUUUUAUCAAUCCGCUCUGUGGUGGCUGAAGAAAGCCCAGCACCAAGUCCAAUGGACUCAGAUGCCACUACUCACUCACAAUCAUGGGGUGAUUGGUUCGGACAUAAAUUGGAGCAAUAUGGUAUCAAAUCUAAGGAUGAUAACGCAGGAGCACCAGCAGGGGAGCCGAUAGGAGCACCAGCAAGUGCAUAGAAAUAUUGAUAUAUAGUGCAUAUAUCACUCAAAUUACAACCUAUUUGAUUAUAUAUUACUUACCAAUUUUUUGUCUAAAUAGUAACAUGCAUCCUCUUCUAGACCCUAUUCGUGAAAGGGGGAUGUCCAUUGCAUCAAUGUAAUGGUUUCUAAUAAGUAGAAUUAAAUAAAUGUUAUGAAUUCAUGACCAUGGCUA